Molecule: ribosomal RNA, 463 nt
Filed under: uncultured bacterium
Lineage: Bacteria
Description: bacterial SSU rRNA
Rfam family: Bacterial small subunit ribosomal RNA
Source: RNAcentral
AGAGAAUAGAUACCCGGGUAGUCCACGCCCUAAACGAUGGAUACUAGGCGUAAGAGGUAUCGACCCCUCUUGUGCCGCAGCUAAACGCACUAAGUAUCCCGCCUGGGGAGUACGGCCGCAAGGUUGAAACUCAAAUGAAUUGACGGGGACCCGCACAAGCGGUGGAGCAUGUGGAUUAAUUCGAUACUAACCGAAGAACCUUACCCAGACUUGACAUCGAUCGCAAGCUCUAGAAGUAGGGCCCUCCCCACAAGGGACGUGAAGACACUUGUUGCAUGGCUGUCGUCAGCUCGUGCCGUGAGGUGUACGGUUAAGUCCGCCAACGAGCGCAACCCUCGUCCUGUGUUACCAGCAUGAAAGAUGGGAACUCACAGGAGACCGCCGGUGUAAGCCGGAGGAAGUGGGAUGACGUCAAGUCAGCAUGGCAGUUACGUCUGGGGCUUCACACAUGCUACAAUGGGCG